CCUACGGGGGGCAGCAGUGGGGCAUAUUGCGCAAUGGGCGAAAGCCUGACGCAGCGACGCCUCGUGAGGGAUGAAGGUCUUCGGAUCGUAAACCUCUGUCAGCAGGGAAGCACGGUCCCUGUGCUAAUCAGCAGUGAAUUGACGGUACCUGCAAGGGAAGCACCGGCUAACUCCGUGCCAGCAGCCGCGGUAAUACGGAGGGUGCGGGCGUUACUCGGAAGUACUGGGCGUAAGGCGCUCGUAGGUGGUAUGUCAAGUCAAGGGUGAAAUCCCCGGGGGCAACGUGGGAACUGCCUUUGAAACUGGCAAACUGGAGUGUGUGAGAGGAUAGUGGAAUUCCAGGUGUAGGAGUGAAAUCCGUAGAUAUCUGGAGGAACAUCAGUGGCGAAGGCGACUAUCUGGCACAUAACUGACGCUGAGGAGCGAAAGCGUGGGUAGCAAACAGGAUUAGAUACCCGGGUAGUC
Molecule: ribosomal RNA, 465 nt
Filed under: uncultured bacterium
Lineage: Bacteria
Description: partial 16S ribosomal RNA
Rfam family: Bacterial small subunit ribosomal RNA
Source: RNAcentral